This is a long non-coding RNA of Triticum urartu, 1496 nucleotides long. RefSeq lists it as uncharacterized. The record is from RefSeq and is a predicted model, not a curated record. Lineage: Eukaryota; Viridiplantae; Streptophyta; Magnoliopsida; Poales; Poaceae.
CAAACAAAAGAACCGGCCCACCCGGCCGUCUCCCACCUCCCGAUCCCCACAUAUCCUGCCGCCGCACCCCCACCCCCGGGACCGCCGGUGAACCACCGCCCGGCCCAGCGCGCCUCCCAGGCCCGGCCGCGCGGGACCUCCAGCCGCUGCGGGCCACGCCCACACACCCUGAGCAUCGCCGCAAGAUGCAGGUCUCCCCGAGCGCUGCCGCCUGCUGCAGGUCGCCCCUAGCGCCUCCACGCACGGAUCCGGCCGAAGCCCGUGAGAUCCACCACCUCAUCCCCUUGUCCACCCGCUCCUCCAUCUCUGGGUCCGGCCCAAUCCUCGUCCUCGUCCGCCGGCCAACUCGUCGGCCGCUGCCCCGUCCUGUCUCCACUGGCAUCCUCAUGAGCCAUGGCUCCGUCCUCUCCUCCACUCCACACGCCUCCACCGGGCUCUACCACCAUCCAGCGCACCACCACGUUGGCACAUCUGCGCAUCUCCUCUCCUUCCCGCGGAUGCCACCGACAAGAUCAAGCUCCAGCAUCUGCCUUCUCCCCAUGAUGCCUCCUUCCAUUGGGAUUUUGUAGUCAUAGCAUGGUAACGUCCAGUCUGUUCGCCACCGCCACCCACAAGCCGUUUGACUUCACAUCACUAGGCCGUUCGCUAGUACUCCCUCCGUCCCAAAAUAUAAGAACGUUUCUAACACUAGCAUAGUGUCAAAAACGUUCUUAUAUUCUGGGACAGAGGAAGUAGCUUAUUGCAAAAUCUCUCGCUAAAAUUGAUUGUUGGCCAGCUUUGCCUGAUGCAUCAGUCCUGAUGAGACAUGAAGUACUCCCUUGGUGUUCUUCUGCACCUACCCAAGCCCCCAUGGAUCCCAGUAUCUUGUUCUCUUCUUUUUUUGGAAUUGAAGUUCAGAUAGAACAGAGAAAGAAAACUUCAGCCGCUGCCUGCAACCCGUCUGACGCGGCCGCUCAAACUUCCCCUCGCCGGCGGUCGCGACGUCAAUUGUGGCUGGAUGGAGAUGCAAAAAUGGUGGUCAUCGACAAGGCACAUGGCGCAUGAGGACGGUUGCCCGGACCUGACCUGCAUCCUUUCUGCCUCCAUCCGAACUGUGUCGGCCAUGCGUCCGUCGACUUCGUCUGUCCUUGAGCACCUCUUCCACACAAUCAACCGUGCAUAUAUAGAUACACAUAUACUCGUAUACUUGAAUUUCUUAGCUUCUAAACUCUCUGAAUUUGUGUGCAUGUUUAUUGGUGCAUGACAUUGCAUGGCUCCACCACUCAAUUUGAUAUUUCAGUCAAUGCUUAAACUUGAUACAAAAAGAGCAAGAAAUAGUGACAGAUGAUGUGUGUUUUUCAGGGAUGUGAGCUGAGAAUUUAGAUGUUCCUUUCAUAAUAUUUAGGGCAUCGAUCAAGUUCAGGCUAGUAUAUGGUCGUUAAAAACUAGUAUGAUAUUAUGUAUUUAUGGUUGUAGGAAAGAUGGUUUCUACGUCAAAAGUAUGUGGUAGUUGUGUG